RNAcentral lists this unclassified non-coding RNA (4439 nucleotides) under Leishmania donovani. RNAcentral describes it as "gene:LdHU3.33.3270(CDS-product:WD_domain_G-beta_r epeat_putative)". The record is from RNAcentral. Lineage: Eukaryota; Euglenozoa; Kinetoplastea; Trypanosomatida; Trypanosomatidae.
AGAUACACAUAUUCUCUCUCCCCCACCACCAUACACGCCCCCUCCCCCUCCCAUCCCAAUCCUACACAGACGUAAAGCUGAGCACACAUACAGUCGUCCACACGCAGCGAAGGAGCAAGCACUGAGAGACACCGAACACAGCACCAAAAAGGACGGCACACAUUGCACCGGCGGUGUGGACCAUGUUUUAUUCCGGCUGCUGCCUUGUGUCGCUCACCCCUCUCCGAUAAUUGUCUUCAUCAACAUCUUUGCCCCUUGCAACCUCUCUCGUCUGGAACGUGCUUCGAGGUCCCUUUUCCUGGCUAAUCUCUUCCUUAGCAAACACAACGGGCGCGCCACCCCAUCGUUGGACUUCUUCUCAUCACCUAGCACACAUCACAGCGAUACAGUGACCCAACGCGGUGUGCGCUCACCGACAGGCUCUCCCUUUUUCAUAUAUUUCCUUUUAGGUUCGUAAACCUUGGGAGUACUUUCCCGCCUUUGUGCUCCGCAUUCGUUCAACUGAGUACUUUGGGACGUGUGCUGCCGUUGCGCGAGCGAGCGCGCACUGCCGCAGCCCCGCGCGCCUUCCCCACCGGCUUCGCUCUGCUGCUGCCGCUGGUGCGGGUGCCGGAUCUUACCUCUGUGGGGCGUACCCUCUUUUCUCUUCGUCUUUCCCCUAUCCAAACUGUAGGCGGUCUCUCUCUUCUUUCUACACACACACACACGCAUAUAUAUAUAUAUAUAUAUAGUUGCUUCAGGGUCGAGCAGAUCAACCGGACAAGCCCCCUUUUCGUGCGUCGUCGACUUAUACUCACUUGAUUGGCGGGGCUUGAAGGGUGGAGAAUACGGUCGGAGCGCUGUUGCUACUUCCCCUCCCUCUCUGCCAAGACGCGUCUGGUCUGUGCUUCGACGGUAGGAGAGAGAAGUACAGUGGGCAGAAGAGCAGCAGCUCACCCGCUCCUCCUCCUCCUCUUCCUCCGCUCCUCCCACGCACGCGAUCACCAAAACGCUCCGGCUAUUGCAGUGAAAACGCCGCAGCGGUCGCCGCCAAUUCAAUCCGCGCGCCGAGCCACUGCUUUUGGCUCAACGCUUUUUUUUUUGAUGCCGGAACAGACGCCGUCUCUAUCACGUACGACGCGCUGUGAGCGAGAGGCAGGAAAAAAGGAAGAGAGAAGCAGGGCACCAUCGCCAUUUCUGGGUGAAUUGGCGUAGCAUACCGAUCCUCCCUCCUCGCUGCACUAUUUGCCGUGCUGGCCUUCCCUCUUUCUCUCUGGCCCGUCCCCUGCCCGUGUCGAAAGCAGCCGAAAAUGCCACUCAAGGGGCACACGUAUGAUGUGGCGACCACAGUUGAGGCACUCAACGCGAGCUUCUCGUUCGACCCUAGCUGCCACAUUGAGCGCGUCCUGCCAGAUGCCUCACGGGAGCUGGUGAAACAGGUGCUGUGGGCGACGUCGCGCGUAUCGGCAGUCAACGGCAGGCCUGUCGCGGAUAGCCCUGAGCUGAAGGCAGCGCUGCUGAGUGUGGUCAUGCGGCACCACAACCCACCAUCGGUCACAGGAGAGGAGAAGACGGUGCCAAACUCUGUGGCUCUCUUUCCAAAGACCCCAAUCACCGUCACCUUUGAGCGCACCGAUGAGCAUGCAUGCAAGGUGUCGAUCGAAGGCAGUGUUCUCAGCGACGGUGCGGUGAGCAAGGUGGAGUCUCCGAGCUCCGCUGCCGUACAGGAGCUGAUCAGCGAAAUAGCGCCCCCGUCCAUCGAGGAACCGCCGCCGGCGCUGCCGGCGAUCGAUGCAGAUUUGCGCGGGUCUUUCCGACGUAGCAUGAUCGGCCACCCAGGAAUAGCGGCGGCGCUACUCAAGGAGUCUGUCAGCGCUGCUUCACCGAACGCGACCGUGGCAGCGAGUCGCCGCUCUACAUAUACACCAGCAACUAGUGGCACCCCGCAGCCGGCAACGCGGCGAACAUCCUCCCCGCCGGCGCCGCCGGCGCUACGACCCAGCCACUGCAAGAACAGUAGCUCCUCAUCGGACCUGGAUGACAGCGAGGCCGCCUCGGAGGCCUCCUCAAGCGACUUCGACACGGUGCGCAUUUGCCAGCUGAAGGGCACAUCUCCGUCUGAUGGGUGCAUCACUGCCGCUGCUGCCGCGGCCGCUGCGGCACAAGCAGGGGCCGAGUCUCCCACACCUGGGCUGCUUGAGUUUGAGAAGAUGAAGCUCUCGAUGCGCGGAGACGAAAUGCUGCGCCACGUGGGGCCCGGCGCCGGUACCUACGGCCACACUCCCAGCGACGUAGCGGAGAUGACGGUGAAGGGCCGUAUCAAGCGCGCACUGGAUCGCGUGGAGAUGGGGUAUUGCGUCAUUUGCGUCACGCAGGAUGUGAACCCGAUUGCGGAAAUCGAGCUGCUCGCGUUGACCGCGAAGAAGCGCGUCGUCGCCUUCGACUUGAGCGUGAAGCUGCGCCUCCGGCCAAAGCCGGAGGUGCUCGCGACCCAGUUUGCAGAGGCCAUGCGUAGCGGUGCGUGGUUUGUAAUGGUCAACGCGCACAAGUCUAUCAGCACCUGCCUCGUCUUCGAGGAGCUGCUGGAGGACGCCCACAUGCACAACCUGGAGGGCUUUGACCCAUCGGCGCGGAUCAUCAUAGCCUUAGAGUCACACCCGCACUUUCCCAAGGCGCUUGUGCAUCAUGCCGUGGUCAUCAAGCUCGUCUCCAACUUUCAGGGCUCGUCCUUCCUGUCCGACUCCAUGGCUGCAUCGAUCUCGCGUGCGCGUCUUGUCACGGCGGACGCGCUCACCCAGUCACAGAUCGGGGGCCCGUCGGCGCGCAGCCUGCAGGCUUCUGUGACGCCGAGGGCCACGGUGCAGAAGCCCGCCAAGAAGCAAGUGCGCAUCAGUGCCGCGGUGGAGAUCGUCGAAAUCGCACCCCGCGAGGUAGUCAAGGUGCCAAAGCGUGACUGCCCGAUCGACGUCAGCGGCAGCGUCGCGCUCUUCAAGACCUUCAGCGGUGUGAGCGGCGACAAGUUUCUCUGCGUGCAGUCAGCCGGCGAGGAAGGCCGCUUCGCUGUCGGCUCCUCGUGCGGUAACGUCUACUUCCUCGACUCGCUGGGUAACUCGCUCCUCCAGGCACACGCGCACAACGCCUCUAUCUGGGAUGUCAGCUUCAACGACAAGUUCCAUUUCGCCACUGGCUGCGAGGACGGCACGUCUGCCGCCUGGAGGCUAGGCGCAUCGCUCGGCGGCGCCUUGACUGAUGACGCGGUGCUUGUGCCAACGGCGGCGACAUCGCUCGGCUCCGACGUGUACUGCGUCUGCUACCUCAAGAACAUGAAUCCCUCCCCACUGCUCAUCGGUGGCUUGCACAACAGCCUAGUCAUCCGCGAGGCGGAGAGCGAUGCGGUGCAUCUCGUGUCCAUCCCAUCAAACGCGCAGGUGGUGGACUGCUUGCCAAACUCGGCCACGGCCCUGGUCGGCGGGGGCGAUGGCUCCGUAUGCGUAGUGGACGUAACGACGGCCAAGCCGCUCGGCACCCUGGUAGACCACACUCGCAAGCUACCCGCCCUCGCCGUCCUCGAUGAUAAUCAGUUCUUCACCGGCUCCUUCGAUAGUAGUAUCCUCUCAUGGGAUUUGCGAGUACCGGGCGGCGUAACGUCGUCUGUGCAGGGCGGCGCCGCGGCGACGGAGCUGGCGGCGCACACGAUGCACACCUUGAAGCUAAAAAACUACGUUACCGGGCUGGACGUUGACGACGUGCACCUGGCGGCCAGCGUCGGCGAGAACCUGUACCUGUGGGACGUCCGAAAGCUGCACACGGUGCUGGGCGGCUACCCACAAGGCUGGAAGGGCCUCUCGCGCGGUGUCCAGGUGCAGAGCGUGUCGCAUCUGGUGGUGACGGCGUCGCCGGACGGGUUCGUGCGCUUCUGGAGCUUUGUCUAGGCGGGGUGCGCUGCGCAAGGCGUCGACGUGCCGAACGCCGCAGGGGCCCGAGAAGGGCAGCGACUGGCUGCACGCCGCGGUUUCUGUGAUUGAACCGCGUGCGCCGUCGUCUUUCGGUGGCGGUGGACAGCAGCGGUGCGUUACCGGCAUGCUUGACGUCUCUCUCGCUUUUCUUUUGUCUUGUGUCCUCAGCUCUUUCCAGAGCGCGUGAUGCGAUGUGCGCUCCAAGUGCGUGCGUGCGUAGGGUGCCAACAAUGCGAAACUUAUUUUGCAAAUGGAUAGGAACGCAAGCGGAUUUCUCAGCGGUGGAGAGGGCCGUGGUGAGCGAGAGAGGGAGAGCGACGAAGCAAAAAGGCAGGGAUGGCUGAUGACGUUUGUUUUUCCUGUCCUCCACGGAUCGCUUGCGGUGCUUUUCGCAUUCGUGUAUAAUGUCGGCGCGCACUGCCAGUGCGCGGUGCGCGAGACGAAGAAAAGGGCGGUGAGAGGAGGGAUGACGACGGUCGAGCGCUCAUGUAUAAACGGCGAUAG